Molecule: unclassified non-coding RNA, 726 nt
Filed under: Hevea brasiliensis (rubber tree)
Lineage: Eukaryota; Viridiplantae; Streptophyta; Magnoliopsida; Malpighiales; Euphorbiaceae
Source: RNAcentral
CUUCCUCAAUUCGAUUUCCUCUUCGCCUACAAUGAGUCGCAAGAGAGAUAAACCAUACUUCUCUCGCCACGACCGUGCUCCCUACCCGAAACGGCGUCGCCCUCUGCCUCCUCGACAGUCCGCCGAAGAGAGUGACGACAAGCCAGCCGUGAAGCCGCCUCCGCCACCUGCUGUGGUGGUUAUGGGUCUGCUACCGAAUUCCUCUGUUCUUGAUCUGAAGUCGAGGUUCGAGAUCUACGGUUCAAUCUCCCGUAUCCGCAUCGACCGUGAUGGCGUCGGGUACGUCACGUACCGGUCCAAAGACUCUGCCGAAGCUGCCAUUGCUGCUGCCCUUGACGCCUCCUUUGGCAUCACUAUUGAUUCGAAAAGAGUGCAGGUGUUAUGGGCAACGGAUCCUCUUGCGCAGUGGAGGGAAGGAGUUGGGGUUGGAGGUAACAAGGAAAAUGGGUCAUCCUCCAAACUUUUGCGGCCUGAGAGACCCUUAAGCAGACACGGCAGAGGUAAUAAGCUCGCUUCUGCUAUAGUAAAUCCGAGAAGUAGUGGUGAUACUUCUGCUGUGCCAGAUGUGCCGUCCAAAGGCAGGGAGAUAGUUGCUUAUGAUGAUAUUCUCUAACGUUUGUUUUUCUCCUUAAGGGAGGGGGAGGGGCAUCGCUUUUGUACGCGUAGUUUGUGCUUCUUUUUGUUUAUGCAUAGGAUUGCACGCAAGGCUGGCAACUUUGAAAAUUU